UACGGAGGGUGCAAGCGUUAUCCGGAUUCACUGGGUUUAAAGGGUGCGUAGGCGGGCAGGUAAGUCAGUGGUGAAAUCUUUGGGCUUAACCCGAAAACUGCCAUUGAUACUAUCUGUCUUGAAUAUUGUGGAGGUUUGCGGAAUAUGUCAUGUAGCGGUGAAAUGCUUAGAUAUGACAUAGAACACCUAUUGCGAAGGCAGCAAACUACGCAUAUAUUGACGCUGAGGCACGAGAGCGUGGGGAUCAAACAGG
This 253-nucleotide ribosomal RNA is filed under the name uncultured bacterium. Its description in RNAcentral is "partial 16S ribosomal RNA". It matches the Rfam family "Bacterial small subunit ribosomal RNA", at positions 524 to 776 of the family's 1533-position model. The record is from RNAcentral.